UUUUGUGUGGAAGAAGAAGAGGAGGACUAGAUUUUUUGACAUGAAUUUAGAACCUUCUAAUGUAAAGCAUGUCAUUUUACGACUAAACCGAAAAAUAAGGUUUACGAAUAAAAUAUUUUGACAAUAUGUUGGCAUGAAUAUGAAUAUUUUGUACGAUAUAUAAAGUUAGUGAGAACUAUUUAACCACUUUUUAUUGUUAAUGAAGUUUUUUUUUUUUUUUACAAAUUUCUUAUUGAAGUUAUUAAGUCCUUGAUAGAAACUUUUAUUAAAC
This 271-nucleotide long non-coding RNA is filed under the name Medicago truncatula (barrel medic). Its description in RNAcentral is "long non-coding RNA (MTRU_LNC002232)". The record is from RNAcentral. Lineage: Eukaryota; Viridiplantae; Streptophyta; Magnoliopsida; Fabales; Fabaceae.